Molecule: ribosomal RNA, 500 nt
Filed under: uncultured bacterium
Lineage: Bacteria
Description: partial 16S ribosomal RNA
Rfam family: Bacterial small subunit ribosomal RNA
Source: RNAcentral
AUUGAACGCUGGCGGAAUGCUUUACACAUGCAAGUCGAACGGCAGCACGGGGGCAACCCUGGUGGCGAGUGGCGAACGGGUGAGUAAUACAUCGGAACGUGCCCAGUCGUGGGGGAUAACUACGCGAAAGCGUAGCUAAUACCGCAUACGAUCUAUGGAUGAAAGCGGGGGAUCGCAAGACCUCGCGCGAUUGGAGCGGCCGAUGGCAGAUUAGGUAGUUGGUGGGGUAAAGGCUCACCAAGCCGACGAUCUGUAGCGGGUCUGAGAGGACGACCAGCCACACGGGGACUGAGACACGGCCCAGACUCCUACGGGAGGCAGCAGUGGGGAAUUUUGGACAAUGGGCGCAAGCCUGAUCCAGCCAUUCCGCGUGCAGGAUGAAGGCCCUCGGGUUGUAAACUGCUUUUGUACGGAACGAAACGCGCCGGGUUAAUACCCUGGCGUAAUGACGGUACCGUAAGAAUAAGCACCGGCUAACUACGUGCCAGCAGCCGCCGUAA